CCCAAAUAUGAAAUAUGAACCCUAAAUCAUCUUCUCUCCAAUUCAAACUCAACAUCAAUUUCAAUUUCACCUUCUAUUUGUUUUGAAUCGAUUUCGAUUUCAAUUGAUUUCAAAUUUCACUCGAUUUCAUUUUCGAUAUGUUCCAUUUUCACUGGGUUUCGAUUUAACUCGGUUUCGAUUUAACUCGGUUUCAAUUUAACUCGGUUUCGAUUUCACCAGAUUUCACCUUCUCUACUCGGAUCUUGCUCGUAGAAACUCUUGUCUCGACUCUUUUUGAGCCUGACCUGCACCUUCAAGGUGGUGGUGGCAAGGUGAGAAAAAGGAAAUAGCUUGUUUAUUUUGCUAGCUUCUCCUUAUAGAUCGGACGGAUGCUUAAAACUUUUCAACAAAAUUCUAGUAACUUCGAUAUGGAUGGUCAUGACAGUGUUAUGGACUUUGAGACAGAAGAACAUAUUGGUUCUACACCUCCAGUUUCUAAUAAUGCUGGUUUGUUGCCUCAAAAGCGUAAAAAUCGGUCAGAAUCAUGGAAUCAUUUUACACCGAUGCCGUCGAACACAGAAAUGUCAAAGUUAGCAAAAUGCAAGCAUUGUGGCUCCUUAAUCAAGUAUAAUGGUGGAACAAGCGCUAUGCAGUGUCUCGUCUAGGUAGUUCAGUUAAUCUAUCAGGUGGUUUUAAUGCAGUUAAUGAUCCGUACCAUUGUGCUGAAUUCUACCAAUCAGAUGAGUGCAGCACAUCAGAGACAGAAUUACAGAAGUAUAUUCAAGAAGAAGUAGAAAACCGUCCUCCAAAUUUUGAUGUGCUAGAGUGGUGGAAGGUGAAUUCAAGCCGAUAUCCAAUACUUGCAAGCAUUGCAAGAGAGGUUUUAGCCAUACCGAUAUCCAGUGUAGCCUCUAAAUCAGCUUUCAGUACCGGAGGAAGAAUCCUUGAUGCAUAUCGUAGUUCUUUAACAUCGGCUAGUGUGGAAGCACUUAUGUGUACUGAAGAUUGGCUCAAAGGAGUAGUUCCAUCUUUUCUUAGUAGUGAGGAUCUCGAUAAUAUUGAUCGAAUUGAGGAUGAACUAUAUUCUGCGCCAGAUGCCGGAAGUUGCUCAUCCUUUGUGUCAGUUGUUGAUGAUUGAGGGUCCACAGGUUUGACUGAGAGAUUUGAACUUUUCAUUUGUGGUCGUGAACUAGGCAAUGCAUUCUCGGAAUUGACCGAUCCUAUAGAUCAGGUUGGAGAUGGCUUGGAUUGCCUUUGAAGAAGAUGGCCAUGGGAAAUUGUGGUUGAAAAUUGGAUGUUAAUGCUUAUGAGCUUAGAUUAAAAAUUAGAACUUUUAGGUCACAUGUUAGUUUAGGUUCAUUUUUGGAAUGUUCAUUUGUAAUGUGCAAUGAGUUUAUCAUGGAAACUAUGUAUUAAGAUGAACUUAUGGUUCAUGAUUAUGUAUGUGGACCAUUUUCUGAUAUGAUAUAAGUGUAUAGCAGAAAAAGUUGUCGGUUGUGGCAUU
This is a long non-coding RNA of Lathyrus oleraceus (garden pea), 1483 nucleotides long. RefSeq lists it as uncharacterized. The transcript is spliced from 6 exons. NCBI's taxonomy places the organism in Eukaryota, Viridiplantae, Streptophyta, Magnoliopsida, Fabales, Fabaceae. The record is from RefSeq and is a predicted model, not a curated record.